UGAGGAAUAUUGCGCAAUGGGCGAAAGCCUGACGCAGCGACGCCGCGUGGAGGAUGAAGGUCUUCGGAUUGUAAACUUCUGUUAAGUGGGAAGAAAUAGCCACGAGUAAUAUGCGUGGAAGAUGACGGUACCAUUAGAGAAAGCACCGGCUAACUUCGUGCCAGCAGCCGCGGUAAUACGAAGGGUGCAAGCGUUAUUCGGAUUUAUUGGGCGUAAAGGGUGCGUAGGCGGUAUGUUAAGUCAACUGUUAAAUUCUUCGGCCUAACCGGAGGUCAGCAGUAGAAACUGGCAAACUAGAGAGUGGAAGAGAGAAGUGGAAUUCUUGGAGUAGCGGUAAAAUGCGUAGAUCUCAAGAGGAACACCGAUGGCGAAGGCAGCUUCUUGGUCCAUUUCUGACGCUCAUGCACGAAAGCGUGGGGAGCAAACAGGAUUAGAUACCCUGGUAGUCCACGCCGUAAACGAUGAUCACUAGAUGUUAGUCCCGCUUGCGGGAUUGGUGUCGUAGC
RNAcentral lists this ribosomal RNA (506 nucleotides) under uncultured bacterium. RNAcentral's name for it is "bacterial SSU rRNA". It matches the Rfam family "Bacterial small subunit ribosomal RNA", at positions 355 to 852 of the family's 1533-position model. The record is from RNAcentral.